GAUCAUGGCUCAGGAUGAACGCUGGCGGCGUGCUUAAUACAUGCAAGUCGAACGAACAUUAAGAGUGCUUGCACUUUUAAUGUUAGUGGCGAACGGGUGAGUAAUACAUAGGCAACUUGCCCCAAGGACUGGGAUAACACUUAGAAAUGAGUGCUAAUACCGGAUAGGUAAUACAAAGGCAUCUUAGUAUUAUUAAAGUUGGGUAUCCAACACCAUGGGAUGGGCUUAUGCUGUAUUAG
Molecule: ribosomal RNA, 239 nt
Filed under: uncultured bacterium
Lineage: Bacteria
Description: partial 16S ribosomal RNA
Rfam family: Bacterial small subunit ribosomal RNA
Source: RNAcentral